AGUGAACGCUGGCGGUAGGCCUAACACAUGCAAGUCGAACGGCAGCACAGUAAGAGCUUGCUCUUACGGGUGGCGAGUGGCGGACGGGUGAGGAAUACAUCGGAAUCUACUUUUUCGUGGGGGAUAACGUAGGGAAACUUACGCUAAUACCGCAUACGACCUACGGGUGAAAGCAGGGGAUCUUCGGAACUUGCGCGAUUGAAUGAGUCGAUGUCGGAUUAGCUAGUUGGCGGGGUAAAGGCCCACCAAGGCGACGAUCCGUAGCUGGUCUGAGAGGAUGAUCAGCCACACUGGAACUGAGACACGGUCCAGACUCCUACGGGAGGCAGCAGUGGGGAAUAUUGGACAAUGGGCGAAAGCCUGAUCCAGCCAUACCGCGUGGGUGAAGAAGGCCUUCGGGUUGUAAAGCCCUUUUGUUGGGAAAGAAAAGCAGCAGGUUAAUACCCCGCUGUUCUGACGGUACCCAAAGAAUAAGCACCGGCUAACUUCGUG
Molecule: ribosomal RNA, 492 nt
Filed under: uncultured bacterium
Lineage: Bacteria
Description: partial 16S ribosomal RNA
Rfam family: Bacterial small subunit ribosomal RNA
Source: RNAcentral